AAAUUGAAGAGUUUGAUCAUGGCUCAGAUUGAACGCUGGCGGCAGGCCUAACACAUGCAAGUCGAACGGUAACAGGAAGCAGCUUGCUGCUUUGCUGACGAGUGGCGGACGGGUGAGUAAUGUCUGGGAAACUGCCUGAUGGAGGGGGAUAACUACUGGAAACGGUGGCUAAUACCGCAUAACGUCGCAAGACCAAAGAGGGGGACCUUCGGGCCUCUUGCCAUCAGAUGUGCCCAGAUGGGAUUAGCUGGUUGGUGAGGUAACGGCUCACCAAGGCGACGAUCCCUAGCUGGUCUGAGAGGAUGACCAGCCACACUGGAACUGAGACACGGUCCAGACUCCUACGGGAGGCAGCAGUGGGGAAUAUUGCACAAUGGGCGCAAGCCUGAUGCAGCCAUGCCGCGUGUAUGAAGAAGGCCUUCGGGUUGUAAAGUACUUUCAGCGGGGAGGAAGGUGUUGUGGUUAAUAACCGCAGCAAUUGACGUUACCCGCAGAAGAAGCACCGGCUAACUCCGUGCCAGCAGCCGCGGUAAUACGGAGGGUGCAAGCGUUAAUCGGAAUUACUGGGCGUAAAGCGCACGCAGGCGGUCUGUCAAGUCGGAUGUGAAAUCCCCGGGCUCAACCUGGGAACUGCAUUCGAAACUGGCAGGCUUGAGUCUUGUAGAGGGGGGUAGAAUUCCAGGUGUAGCGGUGAAAUGCGUAGAGAUCUGGAGGAAUACCGGUGGCGAAGGCGGCCCCCUGGACAAAGACUGACGCUCAGGUGCGAAAGCGUGGGGAGCAAACAGGAUUAGAUACCCUGGUAGUCCACGCCGUAAACGAUGUCUACUUGGAGGUUGUGCCCUUGAGGCGUGGCUUCCGGAGCUAACGCGUUAAGUAGACCGCCUGGGGAGUACGGCCGCAAGGUUAAAACUCAAAUGAAUUGACGGGGGCCCGCACAAGCGGUGGAGCAUGUGGUUUAAUUCGAUGCAACGCGAAGAACCUUACCUGGUCUUGACAUCCACGGAAGUUUUCAGAGAUGAGAAUGUGCCUUCGGGAACCGUGAGACAGGUGCUGCAUGGCUGUCGUCAGCUCGUGUUGUGAAAUGUUGGGUUAAGUCCCGCAACGAGCGCAACCCUUAUCCUUUGUUGCCAGCGGUUAGGCCGGGAACUCAAAGGAGACUGCCAGUGAUAAACUGGAGGAAGGUGGGGAUGACGUCAAGUCAUCAUGGCCCUUACGACCAGGGCUACACACGUGCUACAAUGGCGCAUACAAAGAGAAGCGACCUCGCGAGAGCAAGCGGACCUCAUAAAGUGCGUCGUAGUCCGGAUUGGAGUCUGCAACUCGACUCCAUGAAGUCGGAAUCGCUAGUAAUCGUGGAUCAGAAUGCCACGGUGAAUACGUUCCCGGGCCUUGUACACACCGCCCGUCACACCAUGGGAGUGGGUUGCAAAAGAAGUAGGUAGCUUAACCUUCGGGAGGGCGCUUACCACUUUGUGAUUCAUGACUGGGGUGAAGUCGUAACAAGGUAACCGUAGGGGAACCUGCGGUUGGAUCACCUCCUUACCUUAAAGAA
This 1552-nucleotide ribosomal RNA is filed under the name Salmonella enterica subsp. enterica serovar Senftenberg. RNAcentral describes it as "bacterial SSU rRNA". It matches the Rfam family "Bacterial small subunit ribosomal RNA". The record is from RNAcentral. Lineage: Bacteria; Pseudomonadati; Pseudomonadota; Gammaproteobacteria; Enterobacterales; Enterobacteriaceae.